This is a long non-coding RNA of Mesocricetus auratus (golden hamster), 11674 nucleotides long. RefSeq lists it as uncharacterized. The record is from RefSeq and is a predicted model, not a curated record. The transcript has 2 exons. NCBI's taxonomy places the organism in Eukaryota, Metazoa, Chordata, Mammalia, Rodentia, Cricetidae.
UGAGGCUGUCGGUCCAGCCCAGCCUCGAACUCACAGUGAUCUGCCUGUCUCUGCCUCCCAAGUGCUGGGAUUAAAGGCGUGCGCCACCACCGCCCGGCCUCACAUACAUGUAUUUUAAACUAUUAUGCAAUUAGAUUAUUCACAGCGCUUUGCAUUCACUGCUAAUACUUUCACAAAUGCUCUCCCAAGUGUUUCUGUAUGUGGCAUGAACCAGAUCCCAGCGUUUUUGAUGAGCUGUUGGCUUGGUGGCAGAGUCCUCCCAACCUGUCACAUGCUGGAGUACAAAAGAACUGCCAUUCUUUAAAACUUGGACUCAGAAUGCCUGACCUGAAUCCCCAAGAGUCUACACUUCAGAAAGCUCCUUGGGGUUUAGCAAAAUGAGCAUCUGUGAACACUCUUUAAAUAGCAUUCAGGUCUGCUAUUUUCAAAGACAGACACACAUAGAAUUUUUGAAAAAUCAGACUACAUUUUGAAGAAUGUGUUUCUCAGAGACAUAACCCUUGUGAAUAAAACAGAAUGCCCCCUGCUCCCAUCCUUGCAAAAGGAUGAGGCAGCUGUUUCUGUACUACAUCUUGGUGAAGGCAGGAUCUUGGCCUGCUUUUAGCACACAGAAAACUAACCCACUGAACUCUUGGGACUGAGUUUUCUUUCUGCAUUUUUCCGUGCCCCUAGCCCUGCCCAUUGACAUUUGUUCAGAUUAGUCUGUUCAAGUCAUGCAGUAACCGACAGCUACUGGAAAGCAUGUCAGUAGGGCUCCUAUUCCACAGCACCUCUCGGGAGCUGGGCUGGGUGGUGGGCAAUAGCUACGCACCCCCCUCGGGGCCAAACACUGCCCCAACAGCUGCCAUGCUUUCAUCUGGUAACCAGAAGCGGCUUUAAAACCUAAUACCAUUGUGUUUGUUGUCACAUUAUGAAUAAGGAAAGUGACUUGAAGAGGCUAAGUUGCCCAAGGUCACGUGACCGGCCAGAGUGAAACCAGAGCCCCCUAGGACAUGCCUGCUUCUACUCCCUGGGGAGAAGCAGGCAAGAUAGAGGACACACCCACACAUCCACACCCACACCCCCCCCACACACACACACACACUACAAGGGGAUUAUGUAAAGGAUCUAAAGGAAGGAGGGACAUAACUGUCUUUCUCCAGGAACAUGUCUCUGAAGGGUUGGAUUCAUUUGUGAUCCUGGGAACAGCAGAGAGAACCCAAACCAUCUAGGUAGGUUGUCACUAAGUGUCAACUCCAUGAACCCUCAGCAUCAACCACUUUUGUAUAGUCCAAGUGUCACUGGAGUGAGUUAAGUCUCCAUUUUCCCUGAGACCUUGACACCUCAACACCAUAUGCUUUCCCUAUUUCUCUGCCUUGGUCAGCAUGAGCAGCAGAAGCCCAGGAUGGACCCCGAUUUACUCCAUCUCACUUGGAGCUCACUAUCUGUGCAACCCAGGCGUAUAGUGACUGGGAUGGCCCAGCAAGGUAGUGCAGCGGCCAAGAGAGGAAAGCCUUUCCUGGCUUGCUCUAUUCAUUUUUCAGACACUCUGAGGGGAAGCUGGACUUUCUAAAUGUGUUCAUAUCCAGGAAGAGAAAACAACUCUUAAAAUCACAACAGCAACACCCAUGACACAGCAGAACCGGGAUCCUAGAGUUCCCCUCCUGCUUCUCAGCUCCACCACACUGGGUUUGAAAACUAUGGCCUGUGCGGAAAAGCCACAGUGCCUUUGUCUGGGGAUUUUCUUUGUCAUCUGGCUCUUUUGCUGGUCUACUAGCUAGCCGUUCUCAUUAUAAAAAAGCCCCUUUAGUGUUGCUGUACUGUAGAGCGUUCUAACCAUCUGUUGUUGAGCUUUGGGAUUCGUUGGUUUUUUUGUUUUGUUUUUUCUGUUUCUUUCUUUCUUUUUUUCUUUUUUCUUUUUUUGACUGGUUGUGGUUUUUUUUUUCUAGAAACUCACAGUUCUUCUGAUAUGUAUUAUAAUCUGUCAACUCUGCUCACAGACUUUUUGUUUCGGUUUCUUGUUUCACUGCCUACAAAGUCCCCUGGCAAAUCCCUCCUCAUCUAGUGUCAUUAGCCUGACAUAGGUGAAGGUCUCCCUCCAGGGGGUGAAUUUGUCCUUCUUGGCAAUAUCUCUUUCUACAGGUUUGUGAGAGGGGGGUCUUAGUGUUACUUUAAGUUUCUUGAAACCAUUUUAUUUUAUCAAAGUGGGCCCCAAACAUACAAAACAUACAAAAAAAUGAUUGGGGGGCCCUCCUGAGAAAACACAUAUCCCCAAGGCCCACCUCUGAGACUCUUAGCUAGUACUAAUGCAGUUGAAGGCCAGAAAACUGCAUUUGUCCUAGAUUUCCAGAGAAUUUUAGAACAGAUGCUCCCAGAACCACAGACAGGCGCCUGGACAUCAUAUAGCUGCCGUCUUCCCUUCCUGCUCCCGAUCAUGAAGUGCAGGCAUGGCUGUAGAGUCCUGCUUCCUAUCGUGUGUUCACACACAUGACCUUACUCUGUCCCAUAAACAGAAUCAGGAUUUUCUUCUGUUCUCUAAUAAAACAAUUUAAGUGGAAACCAUUUAACAGUGAUAAAACAUGACAUGAAAGAGGAAGAGGAUAAUAAAAUGUCUCCAGAAUCGAGACAUUUAAUACAAUUGUGAUUAGUUACAACAUGACAUUAAACACCACCAACUGUUGCCAGCUCCCCAACCCUCUGCAUGGGAGUGGCGAGGUAGCCCCUCAGUUUGGUUCCUUGCCCACAGCUCCUUCCUUCACAGUGGUCUACCUUGGGCUAAGUCAAAGCACAUUACGGUCUAUAUGAAUCAGUUCUCUUGAUGUACAUAAAUGCUCCUACUUAGAAGUCUGAAAGGAGACGCACCCAGAUUCAGAGAAUAGCGUGACUCACACGUAUGAUGUGCCCAUGGUUGCACACACCCAAAUAAGCACACAGACUCUUGCAUUGAAGUUGCUGUAUUUUUAAACAUGGCUUGUCUCUUCUAAGAGUCAUAUGCUAAUUUGAUUUCCUUUUUGGUGGUGUUGUGAGGUGGAGCCUUUCAGGGUGGUUACAUUAUUAAGGAGGAAUAAUGCCAGUCUCCAGGGAAUGGAUCAUUUUUCACAAGAACAUGCUGCUGUAAAGUAAUGCUUCCCCUUCUGUUUUGUCUCUACUGUUCAUACCUGUUUGCCUAUCGAGCUUGAAGACAACAGAUGCAGCUGACCAAUCUUGGACUUCCUAGCCUCCAGAAACAUAAGCUAAAAUAAACCUUUCUUCUUUAUAAAGUGUCUCGUGUGUUCCGUUAUAGCAUCAGAAAAUGAAAUAAGGCAGACGUCUACAGGCAUAUGAGCAAAGAUGUUCAUGUAUGUAUAUUUGCACUGGUGUGUAUAUAUGUUCAUUCUUUUCCGUGUGUUUCCAUUUUAAUAUGUAGAACAAGAACAGUCUUAAACACUCUCCUCUGCACAUACACACCACACAGAUUCCUAGACAUACGUCUGUAUCCUUCAAGUAGGUAAAACAUGCCACAUCACGUAAUCAUAGUCAUACUACUAGCUAAGUGUACACAGGUCCAGGUGCCAGCCCCCCUCCCCAUACAAGUGUAUACACCCUUUAUCCAUUACAUGUUUACUGAAGUCUUAUUAUGUGCCUGGAAGAUCUUAGGUACUGAAAAUUGGUGAAUUAACAACACCAACAAAAGUUUACUUUUUUCCUGUUGGUACAUUAUGGGAAAGAUAAUUCUUUAAAAAGCAUACCCACUUCCCAGUGCAUCUCUCUCUCUCUCUCUCUCUCUCUCUCUCUCUCUCUCUCUCUCACUCUCACUCUCUCUCUCUCUCACUCACACACACACAGACUAAAUAGACUGUGGGACUAUAUAAAGUUGCAAUUAUAAUAGGUACUAUGAAAGUAAUAUGGAAUGUUUAGAGAAUUCAACUAAUUCAGAAUAGUCUGUAAAGUUACCCUCAAAGAAAUGAAGAUUCAGCAGACAUCCAAAGGAUAAGUAGAUAACUCCUAGAAGAGGGCAGAGAGGGAAGAAUGCCACCUGAAGAGAAGGGCAUGUGCAGUGUCUUGUGUUAAGAGGAAGUCUCUUUUAUCAGAGAAACCAAGUACAUGUAAGUAAGGGCACCUGACACACGAGGAAGUAGCUGUGGUGUCCCCGCAACUGCAGGCAAGGGAGCAGCCACACCGUGAAGAGUCUCGGGUAGCAUUAGGAUCUCGGUCUUUAUCCCAAGAGCAUGUCUACACCAAUGAUGCAUUUACCACAGCGGUCAGGUCUAUAUUUUGAGAGCUAUCGCUAAAGAUAUAUUUAAAGGGAUUUCCACGCACAUCACUGCACACAGAAGAUUUACAUAGCCGAGUGCUUUCUUUAAAAUGCAUAUUUACAUACAUAUUUAUUACACUGUCUCUCACAUAUCUUACAAACAUGUGUCACAUAUAAGACCGGAGAAAGAGAGAGCACUAGAGGGCACUGAGGGGCGAGGAGCACUCUCUUUACCAGGCCUAAACCAGUCCUUGGGGGCAAACCCUGAAAAAGUCAUGGAUUUGAAAGGAGCGCUCUGCCUCUGCUGCUUCCUCUGAGUUUGGCUGACUGGCAUCAUGCAUGUGCCUCCAGCACUGUUCCUCCUCCUCCUCUUGGCUCAGAGCGUCCAGUGACAAGGUGGGGUUUCUUCCAGAACAUGAUCAUUGACUAUUCUUGGCCUGGGCAAGGAGAGGAGGAUGGGCAGGUCAGGUUGCAUAAAGAUUGCCUUGUGCCUUCUCAGGGCUGUGAGCAGGGCCUCUGGCAGCCAUGAGCUGGUGAGCUGGUGUACUCUUAGCACACAGUGGGCAACCCUAAGCUGUAAACACAAGGCACAAUGGAGGAAUCAGGGGACUUGAGGACCUGCUGGCACAGCAGUAGGAACAGCCAUGAAGCUCUGUGACAUGUGACAUCAAUGAUGGCUGUGUCCUUUUCUCCAAUGGGGGUAGCAUCUCACAGUGGAGGAAGGAGUAGGGAAUUUAUCAGCCAUAGCACGUGCAUUGGAACGAUGCGUGUGUACAUUUGGGCUCCUUUUUAACAGCAAAGCCAGGGAGAGCCUUGGACAGAGCUAAUGACAGACUCCAGGGAGAUCAUUGAGACAUUAGGUAGGAAUUAAACUUACCUAGAGCUCCUGUCUUCAUAGAGCUGUCUCUGAGGGAUUUGUUGAUAUCCCAAGGAUACCCAUUCAUAUUUUGUUUUCCAAAAUUAUCUUAGAAAAUGUUUUCUUCCAUAAUUAAGAGGAAUUCCAGAAUAUUUUCCUUUUGCUUCAGGCGGUGUAGGAAACAUGUUUCUUUCUCCUCAGUUGGGCACUGUUCUUUAUAAUCCUGGUGGCAACCUCCCAGCCUCAUCAAAGCUGCUGAAGACAGCAGGGUUCAAGUGGACACUGGGUAGCGUUGAUUCUCCAGGCCAACCCAUUACUCCACAAUUUACAAAGGAUAUUCUAGUGGCCAUUGUGUCUAACCCUCACCACAACCCUAAGGUAGUACAGGAACUCCAUCUUACAGACAGGAAGACUGAGGUUAAAAGACUAGCCUGAGCACAGGGCAGAGCUGAUUUUCAAUUCCAAUCUUCAUUCUAAUCUUUCAAAAACACCAGUUCCAUGGUGUUCCCAGUCUUUGUCACUCUCCUGAGACCCAGGACUCCUCCCCCGGGGUCCUCUGCUUUCUUAGUCAGGAUUAACAGUGCCCCCAGCCUUGAAGCCACAGGUGCCAAGCUAAAGAUAAGCAGGCGGCUGCCCCAGGGACUGUCCUCAGAAUGCUGUUGCUGAUGAUAAGUCAUGAGCUUGGUCAGCUCUAGCAAACAUGGCUAAGAGCAAAGCCCCCAAAACCCUCCGUGUUCUGUUUGUUUACUUGCUCCCCACUGUGAAGUGACAGAACCCCAGGUCCCACCCCCCCCAUGCCUGUCCAGAGGGGACCUCAGAUUCCAAGUUCAGGACAUCUCUGUAGGAAGACCCAGCUGAUUUGCCCCAACCCCACACCCACUGGAGAUGAUCCAACCCAUUUUAAGGGCCAAGUUCCACACCUCAAUUAAAAAAGAAAAAAAGAAAAAAAACUGCAGGCUCCGGGAAGUAGUUCAACUUCUUCUUCAAAACAGCUUGUGUGUGGUUGAAAUGUUUUAUUUUAAUCAUAGCAAUUAGAUGUUCUUGUUUUGCACAACAUCCUUCAACAGAAUCGCCUUCAGCACAGGUGAGUGGCAUGUACAUUAAUAGGUUUGGGAAAGUCUGGGGUGGAUGACACAUCCCAGAGUGGAGGAAAAGGGCUGGCAAUCUCUUCUCCAAGUAUUAACCAAUAUGGUUUACCCAGCUUUCCAAGGGAGACUGUGAGUAAUUCAUUCAUUCAUGCUGAACACUUUUCCAUGCCCAAGCCGUUGCUAUCUCCUGGGGAUAGAGCAGAGAGAUGCAUGGCUUGUCUUGCUUUUGUUAGUUUCAGUCUAAAUAGGAAGACAGACAGUGAGAAGAGACUUAGAAAUAAAAGUAUUUAGGGCUAUUUAGCAAUAGCACAUAGCCACCUAGGGCUCUAAAAUUAGAAUUCAGCAAGACACACACAUACUUAAGAGCGUGGAAGAAGGGUGGGAAAUGGUCUUCUGGAUUUUGCUGGCAGAUUCAAAUAGGUAUAUGGUGUCUGUCAACCUCAGACUGGACUCUAAUAAUCCAUAAAAAUUUAAUUACCUCUCCCCUAAAAAUAUCUCACGGAAAAGCAGUGCCUCAGUAUUGGUCUGUCCUAUUCUGCAGGGGGACAACAUGGCCAUUUUUUUUUCAAGUAAAGGGAUGUCAGAUUUGGCAAAUUAAAAUGGAGACCACCCAGUUAAAUCUGAAUUCCAGAUGUACAGCAGAUAAUUUGUUUUGUAAAUUUGUCCUGAACUUUGCAUGAUUCAUGCAUGUUUCCAUGCUAUUCAAAGGUAACUGACCACCAGGUGGUAAUGGUGCACACCUUCAGUUUCAGCACUUAGGAGGUAGAGACAGGUGGAUCUCUAAGUUCAAGGCCAGCCUGGUCUACAGAGUGAGUUCCAGGACAGCUGGAACUACAUAGAGGGAAAAAUCGGAGAUGGCAAGAAAAAUCUCUGAAUAAGUAAAUAAGUAGCAGGGUUACACAGCUUUCAGCGUGGGAAUAUAACAGCAAGUACCUAGAUGUGCAGAAGGAGUUUCUAAAGCCAUAUCUCCUAGUGCUUACGGGAAUCAGCCAAGGGUAAACUAGGGGAAAGCAAGGCUCCAAGGUCAAAGGUUUAGGGAACAGUCUGUCCUGUAUUUCCUUUUUGGAAUCCAAGCUCUGGCCGUGUCAUAAAAGCUCUGAGACCCUUACAGGAAGUGUACCUGACUGGCCUGGUUUAACCUGGCUUGCCCACAGAUGCUAUUUAUGGAGCCAGUUUUAUCUGUUUGUUUUAUAAGGACACCUAGUAACAUCAUGCAAACCAACUGCUCUCCUCAGCACACUUUGGAGAACACCAGCAUUAAAACUGAAACUUGUCUUCAUAUACCCAGUGGGUUGCUGGGUAAGGAGGAAAUGGAACUCAGAUGCUAUAAACCGAAGGGCAGAUACUUGCUCAAGGAAUGCAGCCAUCUGGGAAGCAGGUGCUUGGUCCAACAUGAAGUCUAGACCUUUCUAACAGUUGGAACGGUACAGAGCUAAUGAGUAAAUUUCUGGGGACUUACUAAAUCAGAAAUGGAAUCUUGCCGGGGACACUAGAGGAUACCCUUGCUCUGUGUAGGAAGCUCUCUCUGACGGCUGCGACAAUGUAGCUUCAUUUAUCCCUGUGUUCUGUAUCUUUUCUGAAACCUAUAUCCAUCCCUUCUAUGCCUCCCAUUAACACAGUACCUAACAUCUGUAAGCCAAACACUUUUCUUCUCAGGGAUGUCAGUCCUCUAACUGGAAUGACCCACGCUCUCAUCUAAGCCUUUUUAUAGUCUAAUCACCCUGGAACUCUGGGAGGGGCUUAUCAACUUCGGAUGUUCAUACCUAAAGCUUGUGACCCCACUUGGCAGAGAAGAAAGAGUGCAGAAGAGUCUGUAUUGUGAGAUUGAUCUUGUGGAAUUUGAUAGAACCCAUAUUACUGGGUAUCCGAGACAUGGGGAAUAAGGUAUUCCAACACGGUUCAAGUCCCACCUCUACCACUCCUGGCCUCUGUGACCUGGAGAAAGCUUCCAAACCUGAGUGAAUUUUAUUUCCCCUUGUAAAAAAAAAAUAAAGUCUAAAGCGACAGUGCCUACAUUUCCCUGUUUGGAAAAAUGAAGAGUGACAAAAGGGACAAAAAGAACCCCACAGACUUCCUGCAACCGACACUCAGUAAAAGUUGAUGUUGUGAGUGACUGUGUUUAUUCCUAUCCACACAGGAGCAAGCUUCCAGGGAACUUGAGACUUCUUCAGAAAGUCACUAAUCCGUGUGCCAAAAGAUCAGGCCCCAACGGAAGGGAUGAGCUGGAGAUCGCCUGCUCUCUAACACCUUCCUUUGAGAACACUCUGGGGCAAAGAAAGUAGGAGAAAACACAUUAAAAGACAACAGUCCUUCCUCCUCCAGCGUGGAAAGUAUCUGCAGCCUUAACCACAGUCCCUAAUCCUCCUUGACGGUGAAGCAAAAAGUUGCUGGAAGUUUCCUUGAGCUGUGCCUUUGGAGGCGCAAAUGCAAUUCUUCCAAGAAUGCUACCCAUGCACACCACUUAGCAAAGGAAAGCAUCACAAACUGAACACUUCACGUGUGUGCCAGCGUGUGCAAAGGUGCCCUGAAAUCACUUUGACUGACAUCUGUUCUUUGGCCGUGUUCCUAUAGUAAAGACGUAAAUCCCAGAACUGUCUGGAAGGAAAUAUGCUGGGUCCACUGGCAACAGCUUAUUUUCUGUCUGCUGGGUGUGACUCUCACCCUACCCCCAUCUUCAUCCUCCCCAUCCCUCACUUGAGGAUCUCUGAGCUCUGUGUCUCUUGGGAAAGUGUCUCUGAUCUAUUUUUGCCUGGGUUUGUGCACUCUCCACACGGAUUAUCAUCUGGCUGACUCCAGUUUUGAUUAGUUCUUUUGUCUGAUCGGUUCUGUUUCCUAACAUGAGUUCCUGCGGCCCACUGCAGUCCUUCUUGGAUUACAGGAGCAUUGGUUAAGGUAUCAGAGCAUUUGUCACAGUUUCUGCAGGGAAUGCUUGUCCCCUCAUCCCCAGCCUACCCUACUCAUGGUGCUCCUUGUCACUUUGGCACAAGCAGACGCCUUCUCCCUCACUACAUGACUCUGUAAGUGGAGUCUGGUUUUCACAUUAGCCAAGAGGAGGCUCUGAAGUCAGAAAUCCUUGGCCUAUGAGUCACGUUGUUUCUUUGUGCCUCAUUUCCCCCAACUAUAAAUAGGCCACGUCCCACACUUUCUCAUCUCCCAGUAUCCAAGGGACUAGUACAGGUGCUUGUGUGCAAACUGGGAGCUCCUUCCAGGAGCCGCUUCCGUUUUGUCCCAGGUGGGCUCUCUCUCUCUAGGAUCAUGACAUUCAGGGGUCUCUAAAAGUUCGUGUUUCUCUGUCUCCCUACUUUCUCUCUUGGCAGCUGCCUCUUUCGCUGUUUGCGUGUGAAGUUUCUGAAAUGCCAAGGCCAGGCUUUGCAGAAAGAGCUCUCUCUGUCUCCCUGUUGUCUUCAGAGUGAAGUCCUCAGCAGCUCCCCAGUUGGCCCAUUUUCUUUGUACACCAUUCACACUUGCAGUACUUGCUCCUAACCAGGAGCAGUCGAGUAAGAGGUAUUCAGCUGCAUUCCAGGAAGUGUCAACAGAACCCGUCUUUAACUUGCUAUGCCUUCUGUGGCUUCUUUCAGUCCAGCUGACUUCGAUGAUGACCUCAUCAUUAAGUCAAAGGUCUGUGGUUAGUAGUUAGUGGUUGUGCUUCUAAAACUUCUCGUUUGGAACACAAACUGAUGCCAGUGUUCGUGAACGGCUGGAGCUAAUCAAGGGAGAACAGAGGCAGGACCUGGUCGCCUUUACACAAAACUUUCCCUAUUGAAACCAACUAAUACCCGAGGACAGAAGAUUAAGGAAUUUCCAAAUACAGACCUAGAGCUUGCAGAGCUGAAAGGAACACAAAGACAGCAAACACAUUCUCUCCCUUUAUAAAGAAACUGAGACCUGAGUACUGUCUUGGCCCAGACACCCCAUAGCAAACCCUGAUGAAGACUGCACUGAGGGCUGACGCCACUCUUCACAGGCCAGGUGGAGUCAUUUCCAUGCAGAGAAGCUGAUAUCCUGCUGCAGAGUGAGUUUUGAACUGCAAGUACUAGCCAGAGUUCUUCAGAGGAGCAGAAUCGAUUAUACAACAUGCAUAUACACAUGUACAUAUGUGUGAAUGAUUGCGCAUAUAUGGGCCCCUGUGUCUGAAGAGUUUCCAUGAUUUUAGGAAAGGUACAAGUACACAAAAAUAAAGAUUUUCGUUUGGGAAGUCCUGUAGAAAUUGUGCGCCUUGCCCAUUGCUUGUGAUUCUGUCUGCAUGCUGGAGAAGUGAAGUGCUCACUGGCUGCUUAGUCCUGAAACUGUGUGUCUCGGAACAAGUACUCGAUGAUGCACCUCUCAUGCAAGGCUAUCAGCCUAGAAACUCCCUGGAGAGUUGCUACGGUGACUCAUAGUCAAAGGCUCACGAGGUUGGGGUCUGAUUUGGACGAUGGCAGCUGCAAAGGACACACUUGCUCAGAAAGACGAGCUUGCAAGUGCAGGGUAGCCUCCUCCAUUUUCCAUUUUUAUUCUUCAUGGCGGUCGGCCUACUAGUUAACAUAACCCAUGCUCAAGAUGAGUCUUUCUCCCUCAGUUGGUGCCCCACAAGUCAACAAUCUCAGAAAAUGGCCUACCAACACACCAGGAGGUGUGUUUUACUAAUCUUUUUUUUAUCCCUCCAUCCAGUCAAUUAGCAAAGAUUAACUGCCACGGUGUCCAAAUUAAAAGACAGAGAUUUGAACUGUAAUGUUUUCGAGAAACUCACGAAGGACACAUUGUAAGUGAUUGUCCAGUUAUCAAGCUCACCUAGAGAUAGCCGAGGUUGUAGACUCUCAGCUUUCUAACUUCAUCAGUAAAGAUUUUCCAGUGAACCUCUAAUACGUGACGAUUUACUGUGGCCAGUGCCUUCCCAAGACAGCUAGACUAUUCUAGGGCAGAAACAAAUGCAAGACAAUACCAGCAGCUGUUCUACAUUCUCAUUACAUCCUAAUGAAUUAUCUUCUGUGCCUCUUCUGGAAACCACUCUGCAAGAUCAUUGUUUUUCACCCAAAAGGAAGGCUCACGGCUCACCAGUGGAGCAUGAAGUCCAUUCAUCAAGCUGCAUUUACCAAGUCUUAAACAAAUUAGAAAACAAAAAGCAGAUUGCAUAGGCUGGGUGACUUUUACCUAGUGAAGCAUGUUUUCAAGUAUUGUGAGAAUACGUGGUUUGUCUGGGGAGAUGGUGUCCUAGGUGUUCUACAAAGUGUGACUCCAUCGGAGUCAUCAGCCUAUUACUUCCAUGAUCCUUAAACUCAUAACUCAACAUUAUGGUUGCGCACAAAUGAUUAUGGCUUGCUGAUCUAAAGUGGGAAAAUGAUGUAGGGAUGGAGAGAUGGCUCCACGGACCCAGUUCCCAACACCCACCAGGCAGCUCACAGCCACGUGGAACUCGAGUUCCAAGGGAUCCGGCACUCUCUUUCGGUCUCCACAGGAACUGUAUGCACAUGACACAGUUACAUACCUUCAGACGCUAACACAGACACAGAAAACUAAUAAAAUAAAAUGCAAUCAUAA